Non-coding RNA from Callorhinus ursinus (northern fur seal), 134 nucleotides. NCBI's taxonomy places the organism in Eukaryota, Metazoa, Chordata, Mammalia, Carnivora, Otariidae. The record is from RefSeq and is a predicted model, not a curated record.
UAUGCCACUGUCUUGUGUAAUUCUCAUUCUGUUGCAUGGUAAAUAUGAAUACGCCUUUUUGCACAUAAUGAAGGAAGUUUAUUUUGAAGUGACAUGCUUCAAGUCCCUCAGUCAUCUUAAAUUUGUAAAUAGAA